RNAcentral lists this ribosomal RNA (403 nucleotides) under uncultured bacterium. Its description in RNAcentral is "partial 16S ribosomal RNA". It matches the Rfam family "Bacterial small subunit ribosomal RNA", at positions 30 to 526 of the family's 1533-position model. The record is from RNAcentral.
AUUGAACGCUGGCGGCAGGCCUAACACAUGCAAGUCGAGCGAGAGGCGGACGGGUGAGUAAUGUAUGGGGACUGCCCGUUAGAGGGGGAUAACUAAUGGAAACGGUGGCGAUUACCGCGCAUUGCCGCAUUACCCAUAUGGGAUUGGAUAGUCGGUAAGGUAAAGGCUUACCUAGGCGACGAUCCCUAGCUGGUCUGAGAGGAUGAUCAGCCCGACUGGGACUGAGACACGGCCCAGACUCCUACGGAGGCAGCAGUGGGGAAUAUUGCACAAGGGGCGCAAGCCUGAUGCAGCCAUGCCGCGUGUAUGAAGAAGGCCCUCGGGUUGUAAAGUACUUUCAGUCGGGAGGCGUUACCGACAGAAGAAGCACCGGCUAACUCCGUGCCAGCAGCCGCGGUAAUUC